This 301-nucleotide ribosomal RNA is filed under the name uncultured bacterium. Its description in RNAcentral is "partial 16S ribosomal RNA". It matches the Rfam family "Bacterial small subunit ribosomal RNA", at positions 509 to 807 of the family's 1533-position model. The record is from RNAcentral.
CAGUAGCCACGGUAAUACGAAGGGUGCAAGCGUUGUCCGGAAUUAUUGGGCGUAAAGAGCUCGUAGGCGGUUUGUCGCGUCUGCUGUGAAAUCCCGAGGCUCAACCUCGGGCUUGCAGUGGGUACGGGCAGACUAGAGUGCGGUAGGGGAGAUUGGAAUUCCUGGUGUAGCGGUGGAAUGCGCAGAUAUCAGGAGGAACACCGAUGGCGAAGGCAGAUCUCUGGGCCGUAACUGACGCUGAGGAGCGAAAGCGUGGGGAGCGAACAGGAUUAGAUACCCCCGUAGUCCCUGUCUCUUAUAC